This is a small nuclear RNA of Dipodomys spectabilis (banner-tailed kangaroo rat), 191 nucleotides long. RefSeq annotates it as U2 spliceosomal RNA. The transcript has a single exon. The record is from RefSeq and is a predicted model, not a curated record. Lineage: Eukaryota; Metazoa; Chordata; Mammalia; Rodentia; Heteromyidae.
AUCGCUUCUUAGCCUUUUGGCUAAGAUCAAGUGUUCUUUGUUAUCUGUUCUUAUCAGUUUAAAAUCUGAUUUUCUCUCCCUAAGGGCAGUAAAUUAAAUGGAUUUUUAAAAUAUAGAGCUGGAAUAGGAGCUUUCUCUGUAUCCAUGUACUGACCUGGUAUUUCAGGACCUUGAGAAACAGGACAUCAGAA